GGCGUAAAGCGUGCGUAGGUGGUCGUUUAAGUCCGUUGUGAAAGCCCUGGGCUCAACCUGGGAACUGCAGUGGAUACUGGACGACUAGAGUGUGGUAGAGGGUAGCGGAAUUCCUGGUGUAGCAGUGAAAUGCGUAGAGAUCAGGAGGAACAUCCAUGGCGAAGGCAGCUACCUGGACCAACACUGACACUGAGGCACGAAAGCGUGGGGAGCAAACAGGAUUAGAUACCCUGGUAGUCCACGCCCUAAACGAUGCGAACUGGAUGUUGGGUGCAAUUUGGCACGCAGUAUCGAAGCUAACGCGUUAAGUUCGCCGCCUGGGGAGUACGGUCGCAAGACUGAAACUCAAAGGAAUUGACGGC
RNAcentral lists this ribosomal RNA (362 nucleotides) under uncultured bacterium. RNAcentral describes it as "bacterial SSU rRNA". It matches the Rfam family "Bacterial small subunit ribosomal RNA", at positions 557 to 917 of the family's 1533-position model. The record is from RNAcentral.